AACACCAAAUGCUCCUUGUCUGCACGAGUUGAAACUGCAAACGACACCAAACGCUCCUUGCCUGCACGAGCUGAAACUGCAACACGGCACCAAAAGCUCCUUGUCUGCACGAGUUGAAACUGCAAACGACACCAACACUCCUUGCCUGCACGAGCCUAAACUGCAAACGGCACAAAAAGAAAGUACCAAAAAAAAAUGUAUUUGAACUACGUUACGACUUGAUCUCUUCUUUGGA
This 235-nucleotide long non-coding RNA is filed under the name Malus domestica (apple). Its description in RNAcentral is "long non-coding RNA (MDOM_LNC018909)". The record is from RNAcentral. Lineage: Eukaryota; Viridiplantae; Streptophyta; Magnoliopsida; Rosales; Rosaceae.